AGGUAACCGCUGCCGGACGAAGUGCCGUUGCGGCAGAGGAACUUCCGGACUCCACAGAGCAGUACGCCGCCCGAAAGGACGGGACGGCGGGGCCAUAUCCCCGUCGGACGGAAAGUGCAACAGAAAAUAUACCGCCCGCAAGGGUAAGGGUGAAAGGGUGCGGUAAGAGCGCACCGCACAGGCGGCAACGCCUGCGGCAGGGUAAACCCCGUACGGAGCAAGGCCAAACCGGUUCAUACGCGGCUCGCGUUCGCUAACCAAGUAGGCCGCUUAGAGUAAUGGUUACCACGGUGCCAGACCGACAGAAUCCGGGGUAUUGGCU
This 322-nucleotide RNase P RNA is filed under the name bovine gut metagenome. RNAcentral's name for it is "Bacterial RNase P class A". It matches the Rfam family "Bacterial RNase P class A". From Rfam's summary of the family: Ribonuclease P (RNase P) is a ubiquitous endoribonuclease, found in archaea, bacteria and eukarya as well as chloroplasts and mitochondria. Its best characterised activity is the generation of mature 5'-ends of tRNAs by cleaving the 5'-leader elements of precursor-tRNAs. Cellular RNase Ps are ribonucleoproteins. The record is from RNAcentral.